CGGGUGUGUGCCAGUGUGUCUCCCUCCGAGCCGGCGUCUCCACCCCUGGGAGGGGCCUCAGUGUUUUUGCUGAUCGCUUACAUCUGUGGGUAAUUAGCCGGGGACUCAUAAGGCCAGCGUUCUCAAUCUCUCUUCGCCAGAUUCUCUGCUAAACAUCACUACACCUAACUGUCAACCCCUGGCGAAGAGCUUCUACUUGGAUGCUGGACCUUCUGGCAGUCCCUCAGGCUAUUACCAAAAUUACCUACCUGCCUCUCUGCCUCCACGCCAGGAGUUUUUGGAUUUACACACCCGGACUACUCACCCCUCUAUGUCAUCUCCGACCUCCGUUGGCAAUGACCCCGACCUUUUCCUGGACCCUUUGUGACUUGCUUUCCAGUCCAAUCCCCGGAAUAGCUGUCCUCUCUGACCCAGACCAGAUCGUUAU
Molecule: non-coding RNA, 427 nt
Organism: Maylandia zebra (zebra mbuna)
Lineage: Eukaryota; Metazoa; Chordata; Actinopteri; Cichliformes; Cichlidae
Source: RefSeq, a predicted model, not a curated record